This 455-nucleotide ribosomal RNA is filed under the name Streptococcus sp. oral taxon 431. RNAcentral describes it as "bacterial SSU rRNA". It matches the Rfam family "Bacterial small subunit ribosomal RNA", at positions 28 to 469 of the family's 1533-position model. The record is from RNAcentral. Lineage: Bacteria; Bacillati; Bacillota; Bacilli; Lactobacillales; Streptococcaceae.
GACGAACGCUGGCGGCGUGCCUAAUACAUGCAAGUAGAACGCUGAAGGAGGAGCUUGCUUCUCCGGAUGAGUUGCGAACGGGUGAGUAACGCGUAGGUAACCUGCCUGGUAGCGGGGGAUAACUAUUGGAAACGGUAGCUAAUACCGCAUAACAGUAGAUAUUGCAUGAUAUCUGCUUAAAAGGUGCAAUUGCAUCACUACCAGAUGGACCUGCGUUGUAUUAGCUAGUUGGUGGGGUAACGGCUCACCAAGGCGACGAUACAUAGCCGACCUGAGAGGGUGAUCGGCCACACUGGGACUGAGACACGGCCCAGACUCCUACGGGAGGCAGCAGUAGGGAAUCUUCGGCAAUGGACGGAAGUCUGACCGAGCAACGCCGCGUGAGUGAAGAAGGUUUUCGGAUCGUAAAGCUCUGUUGUAAGAGAAGAACGAGUGUGAGAGUGGAAAGUUCACAC